This 2797-nucleotide long non-coding RNA is filed under the name Salmo salar (Atlantic salmon). RNAcentral's name for it is "lncRNA (ENSSSAG00000120193.1)". Lineage: Eukaryota; Metazoa; Chordata; Actinopteri; Salmoniformes; Salmonidae. The record is from RNAcentral.
GUUAGAAGGAUUACUUUAUCCUAUCCCAGGUAUUCCUUAAAGAGGUGGGGUUUCAGGUGUCUCCGGAAGGUGGUGAUUGACUCCGCUGUCCUGGCGUCGUGAGGGAGCUUGUUCCACCAUUGGGGUGCCAGAGCAGCGAACAGUUUUGACUGGGCUGAGCGGGAACUCUGCUUCCGCAGAGGUAGGGAGGCGAGCAGGCCAGAGGUGGAUGAGCGCAGUGCCCUUGUUUGGGUGUAGGGCCUGAUCAGAGCCUGAAGGUACGGAGGUGCCGUUCCCCUCACAGCUCCGUAGGCAAGCACCAUGGUCUUGUAGCGGAUGCGAGCUUCAACAGGAAGCCAGUGGAGUGUGCGGAGGAGCGGGGUGACGUGAGAGAACUUGGGAAGGUUGAACACCAGACGGGCUGCGGCGUUCUGGAUGAGUUGUAGGGGUUUAAUGGCACAGGCAGGGAGCCCCGCCAACAGGGAGUUGCAGUAAUCCAGACGGGAGACGACAAGUGCCUGGAUUAGGACCUGCGCCGCUUCCUGUGUGAGGCAGGGUCAAGCCACUCAAACCAUGCCCUGUUCUCCCCACUUCCGUCACGCAGACACGGGCAGUGACCGUGAACUCUCCCUGACCUGCUGCACUGUAGUACUCAAGCGCUGUACCACCCACUGGAGGGCAACUAUUAUCGCCAACAGUUCAACUGAGUACACUGACAGUUCAUCUUCUACAUAUCUGCACAUCACAUUCAGGAAGGUUAGAUCAACAACAGGAUCUGGGAGUAACCAUGGAGGAGCAUCCGCUAUCACCACAGAAGGGCCAACCUUCAACUCCCUCAAACCACUCUCAUCAGCAAGCUUUCCAACUGUCCAACCAAAACCACUACCUUGUCUACUAGUAUAUUCCCAAUAGCCAUCUAGAACAGUAAAUCAAAUCAAAUAAAAUAAAAUGUAUUUAUAUAGCCCUUCGUACAUCAGCUGAUAUCUCAAAGUGCUGUACAGAAACCCAGCCUAAAACCCCAAACAGCAAGCAAUGCAUGUGAAAGAAGCACGGUGGCUAGGAAAAACUCCCUAGGAAAAACUCCCUAGAAAGGCCAAAAACUUAGGAAGAAACCUAGAGAGGAACCAGGCUAUGAGGGGUGGCCAGUCCUCUUCUGGCUGUGCCGGGUGGAUAUUAUAACAGAACAUGGUCAAGAUAGUAGCAGUGGGUUGCUCAACCUCACAGCCUUUCAACCUAACCCAGUAAGCUAAUGACCAUUUUUUUACACCGUAUAAUCAAAGGCAUCUCACCUGCCUUCACUAGUAAAGUACAGAUGAUGAUUUAAAUGCACUGUCAUGGAAAUUCUUACACAGGGACACACAAAGCCAAUCUUAAAUGAACCAUUGUUUGUCAGCUCGCUGGAGAGGUUCCAACAAACUCAAAGCACCAGGUAGUCCCGUUAGUGAGGAGCUCUACCGGGGCAGUCCCGUUAGUGAGGAGCUCUACCGGGGCAGUCCCGUUAGUGAGGAGCUCUACCGGGGCAGUCCCGUUAGUGAGAAGCUCUACCGGGGCAGUCUCCUUAGUGAGGAGCUCUACCGGGGCAGUCCCGUUAGUGAGAAGCUCUACCGGGGCAGUCCCGUUAGUGAGAAGCUCUACCGGGGCAGUCUCCUUAGUGAGGAGCUCUACCGGGGCAGUCCCGUUAGUGAGGAGCUCUACCGGGGCAGUCUCCUUAGUGAGGAGCUCUACCGGGGCAGUCCCGUUAGUGAAGAGCUCUACUGGGGCAGUCCCGUUAGUGAGGAGCUCUACCGGGGCAGUCUCCUUAGUUCCCUUAUAUACUGACAAGUUAUAUUUGCAUGAUUUAGCUUAUACAUCAUUCAUAACUAAUGUUUCCUUCAUUCAUGUGACGACCAAUACUGUUUCAUAACAUGUGACAGACCAAUACCUCACGAUGCUUCUCUCUAAACUGAGACCUUGAAACUGAGAUAAUCUCUAAACAAGGUUCUGGGCGUACUGCCAAAUUGCAGAUACUGAUAGGGAGGAUUUUGGUCCAAUCAGUCACUUGCAUUAACACAGAAAUUGGUUAUUAGAAAAGCACAAACAUAAAAAUGUCCACAUUCCAUCCUUUUAUCACUUUUAGAUUUUUAGCUUCUAUAUCAUCAUAUUCUAUACUCCUAUUAAAGUAAGGGUGAUUUCUAGCUUCUAUAUCAUCAUAUUCUAUACUCCUAUUAAAGUAAGGGAAAACCACACAGAGAAAAAAAAAUAGCCACUUCAUAAUUUCAAGCCCUUCAUUCUGGGUAGCAUGAGUAAUACUAUAAUUAUAAUAAAGGUCCUAUUCACGGGAAUUCAUCAACACACACAACAUGUUACAUUUCCAUCAUUUAGACAAAUGAAGAAAAAAAACAGCCCAUUUGGCAAUUUAGCAUCCCCAACUUCCAAACAGGGACUCCAACUAAAUUGCAGGUGUUGUGGGGGAUUAUUUUUUUAGCAACAGUUGUAAUGUAUUGGGCGAGAUCAGUUAUAUAAGAAGAGAGAUCUGAGACUAAAGUACAACAUUCAUCAUCAAUGAUUGAACAAGUGGCCCCCUUGGACCUGCCGAAAAGAUAGUGAAGAGCCUCUCUGUUUUGCAGAGAUAAUUUACACAAUUAUUUGAGCGUUUCCUAUUUUUUUCUGUCUCUAGACAUCUCCUGAAUUCGGGGUCUAGGUCAUAUUGACUUUCACAGUGUUCUAACAGUUUCAGACCAACCUUGAUAAGAAUGAGAUUGGGGGGGGGGUACUGUCACAUCCUGACCAGUAAAAGGGGUUAUUUGUUAUUGUAGUUUGGUCAGGGCGUGGCAAGGGG